Molecule: long non-coding RNA, 786 nt
Organism: Chiroxiphia lanceolata (lance-tailed manakin)
Lineage: Eukaryota; Metazoa; Chordata; Aves; Passeriformes; Pipridae
Exons: 7
Source: RefSeq, a predicted model, not a curated record
AGGGCCAGUCGGGGAUGCCAGGGCUCCGAAAGUAAGGGAGGAAAUUCACAGAGAGGCCUUUUGAGGGCAGCCCUACAAGUUUAAAGGGGUUAAACAGAUGCAGGUGUGGUGUGGUGUGGCUAUUUUGCCAAUGGCUGGUGCUCCCAACUUCACUCUUUCCCAGAGAUAUUAAAGGAAAAAAUUCAAGCAAAAAUCAGUUAUGACUUUUAAGUGGCAGAUAACCAGCGGGUCACCUUCUGAAAGCUAUUUUGACUUUGUGAGCCAGAAGGUCCUUAUGGAGUACUAGGCAUCAGCUAAGAUCCUUGAAAGAAACCAGGAUCCUGCCCAAGGGGUGUUCCAAGGUCAAUGAUCCCUAAUCAAGCAGCUACCACAGAAAGCAGGAUGGUCUGUGAGCACAAUAGCAUGUGAAAACCACGUUGCUGAGGUCUACAGGUGCUCUGUGUAUAAGGACCAUAUGAAGUGUUAAAUAUGGGGCAUGAAAAUGGAGUUCACCAUGGACGUUGGUCUCUUGAGGCUACAAGCCACUGGAGUGGCAGGACCAAUCAAGAUUCAAACCAUCUGACUAUGAACAGCUGGUUCUGAAAAAGCAGAAUCUUUUCUUUUGGAGAGGAGGAGCUGAUGUGGAACUGCAUCUCACAGGUUUUGCCAUCAUGAGGGACCUGGGAGACCUGAGAACAAACCCUGUUAAAAAUGACUGAGGCAAGCCUGACAUUGACUAUGAGUGACUGCUUGCUUAUUUAUGAGUAGCAGAUCCUGCAGAGCAGCCUCUCUAGUAGCUGCAGCAAA